This 253-nucleotide ribosomal RNA is filed under the name uncultured bacterium. RNAcentral's name for it is "partial 16S ribosomal RNA". It matches the Rfam family "Bacterial small subunit ribosomal RNA", at positions 524 to 776 of the family's 1533-position model. The record is from RNAcentral.
UACGUAGGGGGCUAGCGUUGUCCGGAAUCAUUGGGCGUAAAGCGCGUGUAGGCGGUCCGGUAAGUCCGCUGUGAAAGUCGGGGGCUCAACCCUCGAAUGCCGGUGGAUACUGUCGGGCUAGAGUGCGGAAGAGGCGAGUGGAAUUCCUGGUGUAGCGGUGAAAUGCGCAGAUAUCGGGAGGGACACCAAUGGCGAAGGCAGCUCGCUGGGACGGUACUGACGCUGAGACGCGAAAGCCAGGGGAGCAAACGGG